This is a non-coding RNA of Vicia faba (fava bean), 411 nucleotides long. NCBI's taxonomy places the organism in Eukaryota, Viridiplantae, Streptophyta, Magnoliopsida, Fabales, Fabaceae. The record is from the annotation of a GenBank genome assembly.
AUGGAAAGACAAAGUUGUACCAAAAAAGUUACAAAACAAUACACAAAAUUUGUUCAAAACCUAUCCCACAUUCCCCCUAAACCUCACUUCAUUCACUAUAAAAAUAGGCAGAAGAAAAUAGAGAAAUACAUACAAAAAUGCACACACACAAGAGGAGAUAAAAAACACAGAAAAUUUCAGAGAAAUUCAACACAAAAAUUUUAUACCAACAAUCUGAAAACCCUCAUCUUCAACCUUUCUCAUACCUCAACUCACCAUAUCUAUGCUACUUCAAACCUUCUGCAGAUCUCAGAAUUAUCCUACUUUAAUCAACUUCUCCAGUUCGCCUUCAUACUCUCAUCACUCUCGAGCCCUAUGAAACCUCCACUACCCUUCAGUUUAGUUUUCCAAAUUUUUCAACACAAAAACUGA